RNAcentral lists this ribosomal RNA (1371 nucleotides) under uncultured bacterium. RNAcentral describes it as "bacterial SSU rRNA". It matches the Rfam family "Bacterial small subunit ribosomal RNA", at positions 28 to 1381 of the family's 1533-position model. The record is from RNAcentral.
GAUGAACGCUGGCGGCGUGCCUAAUACAUGCAAGUCGAGCGAACGGACGAGAAGCUUGCUUCUCUGAUGUUAGCGGCGGACGGGUGAGUAACACGUGGAUAACCUACCUAUAAGACUGGGAUAGCUUCGGGAAACCGGAGCUAAUACCGGAUAAUAUUUUGAACCGCAUGGUUCAAAAGUGAAAGACGGUCUUGCUGUCACUUAUAGAUGGAUCCGCGCUGCAUUAGCUAGUUGGUAAGGUAACGGCUUACCAAGGCAACGAUGCAUAGCCGACCUGAGAGGGUGGUCGGCCACACUGGAACUGAGACACGGUCCAGACUCCUACGGGAGGCAGCAGUAGGGAAUCUUCCGCAAUGGGCGAAAGCCUGACGGAGCAACGCCGCGUGAGUGAUGAAGGUCUUCGGAUCGUAAAACUCUGUUAUUAGGGAAGAACAUAUGUGUAAGUAACUGUGCACAUCUUGACGGUACCUAAUCAGAAAGCCACGGCUAACUACGUGCCAGCAGCCGCGGUAAUACGUAGGUGGCAAGCGUUAUCCGGAAUUAUUGGGCGUAAAGCGCGCGUAGCGGUUUUUUAAGUCUGAUGUGAAAGCCCACGGCUCAACCGUGGAGGGUCAUUGGAAACUGGAAAACUUGAGUGCAGAAGAGGAAAGUGGAAUUCCAUGUGUAGCGGUGAAAUGCGCAGAGAUAUGGAGGAACACCAGUGGCGAAGGCGACUUUCUGGUCUGUAACUGACGCUGAUGUGCGAAAGCGUGGGGAUCAAACAGGAUUAGAUACCCUGGUAGUCCACGCCGUAAACGAUGAGUGCUAAGUGUUAGGGGGUUUCCGCCCCUUAGUGCUGCAGCUAACGCAUUAAGCACUCCGCCUGGGGAGUACGACCGCAAGGUUGAAACUCAAAGGAAUUGACGGGGACCCGCACAAGCGGUGGAGCAUGUGGUUUAAUUCGAAGCAACGCGAAGAACCUUACCAAAUCUUGACAUCCUUUGACAACUCUAGAGAUAGAGCCUUCCCCUUCGGGGGACAAAGUGACAGGUGGUGCAUGGUUGUCGUCAGCUCGUGUCGUGAGGUGUUGGGUUAAGUCCCGCUACGAGCGCAACCCUUAAGCUUAGUUGCCAUCAUUAAGUUGGGCACUCUAAGUUGACUGCCGGUGACAAACCGGAGGAAGGUGGGGAUGACGUCAAAUCAUCAUGCCCCUUAUGAUUUGGGCUACACACGUGCUACAAUGGACAAUACAAAGGGCAGCGAAACCGCGAGGUCAAGCAAAUCCCAUAAAGUUGUUCUCAGUUCGGAUUGUAGUCUGCAACUCGACUACAUGAAGCUGGAAUCGCUAGUAAUCGUAGAUCAGCAUGCUACGGUGAAUACGUUCCCGGGUCU